Molecule: ribosomal RNA, 253 nt
Filed under: uncultured bacterium
Lineage: Bacteria
Description: partial 16S ribosomal RNA
Rfam family: Bacterial small subunit ribosomal RNA
Source: RNAcentral
UACGUAGGGGGCAAGCGUUGUCCGGAAUCACUGGGCGUAAAGCGCGCGCAGGCGGUCAUCUACGUCUGGGGUGAAAGCCCGGAGCUCAACUCCGGGAUUGCCUUGGAUACGGGAUGACUUGAGGAUCGGAGAGGCAAGGGGAAUUCCACGUGUAGCGGUGAAAUGCGUAGAGAUGUGGAGGAACACCUGUGGCGAAAGCGGCGCACUGGACCACAACUGACGCUGAGGCGCGAAAGCUAGGGGAGCAAACAGG